This 316-nucleotide ribosomal RNA is filed under the name Pholcus nkoetye. RNAcentral describes it as "partial 12S ribosomal RNA". Lineage: Eukaryota; Metazoa; Arthropoda; Arachnida; Araneae; Pholcidae. The record is from RNAcentral.
UUUUAAUCCCUUAGGUAGUUACAAACCAAUAUGUAUUGGCGGUCUUUACUUUUUAGAGAAACUCGCUCUAUAAUCGAAAAUACUCGUUAAUUUUAACUUUAUUUAAAUAGUUUAUAUACCGCCGCCCAGAAUAAGAUCAAAAUUUAAAUUCUUAAUAUAAAAUAAUAUCACUCCAGGUCAAGGUGUAACCAAUAAUAAAGAAAGAGUAAGUUACACUAAAAACAAUUUAAGGAAUAAAAAUAAACAAUUAAUACUAAAAAGAAUUUAUAUGUACAUAAAAAUCAAAAACUUUUAUAGAAUAAAAAACUAAAGAUGC